AGUCGAGCGAAUGGAUUGAGAGCUUGCUCUCAUGAAGUUAGCGGCGGACGGGUGAGUAACACGUGGGUAACCUGCCCAUAAGACUGGGAUAACUCCGGGAAACCGGGGCUAAUACCGGAUAANAUUUUGAACUGCAUGGUUCGAAAUUGAAAGGCGGCUUCGGCUGUCACUUAUGGAUGGACCCGCGUCGCAUUAGCUAGUUGGUGAGGUAACGGCUCACCAAGGCAACGAUGCGUAGCCGACCUGAGAGGGUGAUCGGCCACACUGGGACUGAGACACGGNCCCAGACUCNUACGGGAGGCAGCAGUAGGGAAUCUUCCGCAAUGGACGAAAGUCUGACGGAGCAACGCCGCGUGAGUGAUGAAGGCUUUCGGGUCGUAAAACUCUGUUGUUAGGGAAGAACAAGUGCUAGUUGAAUAAGCUGGCACCUUGACGGUACCUAACCAGAAAGCCACGGCUAACUACGUGCCAGCAGCCGCGGUAAUACGUAGGUGGCAAGCGUUAUCCGGAAUUAUUGGGCGUAAAGCGCGCGCAGGUGGUUUCUUAAGUCUGAUGUGAAAGCCCACGGCUCNACCGUGGAGGGUCAUUGGGAAACUGGGNAGACUUGAGUGCAGAAGAGGAAAGUGGAAUUCCAUGUGUAGCGGUGAAAUGCGUAGAGAUAUGGAGGAACACCAGUGGCGAAGGCGACUUUCUGGUCUGUAACUGACACUGAGGCGCGAAAGCGUGGGGAGCAAACAGGAUUAGAUACCCUGGUAGUCCAC
Molecule: ribosomal RNA, 761 nt
Filed under: Bacillus thuringiensis
Lineage: Bacteria; Bacillati; Bacillota; Bacilli; Caryophanales; Bacillaceae
Description: bacterial SSU rRNA
Rfam family: Bacterial small subunit ribosomal RNA
Source: RNAcentral